GAUGGCCAAAACACCCUCCUCCAGCUCGCUGUCCCAGCGCAUGAGGCAGACCCUCUCCAGCACCACCAUAUUUGGGAGCAAAAGCAAAGCAUCAGCUGGCUCUAACCGCCAGGGGACCUUCUUCGCCUCUCCACAACUGAAGUAAUGGCAAAG
Long non-coding RNA from Etheostoma spectabile (orangethroat darter), 153 nucleotides. RefSeq lists it as uncharacterized. The transcript has 2 exons. The record is from RefSeq and is a predicted model, not a curated record. Lineage: Eukaryota; Metazoa; Chordata; Actinopteri; Perciformes; Percidae.